AUUGAAUGCUGGCGGCAGGCCUAACACAUGCAAGUCGAGCGGAUGAAGGGAGCUUGCUCCUGGAUUCAGCGGCGGACGGGUGAGUAAUGCCUAGGAAUCUGCCUGGUAGUGGGGGAUAACGUCCGGAAACGGGCGCUAAUACCGCAUACGUCCUGAGGGAGAAAGUGGGGGAUCUUCGGACCUCACGCUCUCAGAUGAGCCUAGGUCGGAUUAGCUAGUUGGUGGGGUAAAGGCCUACCAAGGCGACGAUCCGUAACUGGUCUGAGAGGAUGAUCAGUCACACUGGAACUGAGACACGGUCCAGACUCCUACGGGAGGCAGCAGUGGGGAAUAUUGGACAAUGGGCGAAAGCCUGAUCCAGCCAUGCCGCGUGUGUGAAGAAGGUCUUCGGAUUGUAAAGCACUUUAAGUUGGGAGGAAGGGCAGUAAGUUAAUACCUUGCUGUUUUGACGUUACCAACAGAAUAAGCACCGGCUAACUUCGUG
This 484-nucleotide ribosomal RNA is filed under the name uncultured bacterium. RNAcentral's name for it is "partial 16S ribosomal RNA". It matches the Rfam family "Bacterial small subunit ribosomal RNA", at positions 30 to 507 of the family's 1533-position model. The record is from RNAcentral.